GCAGUCGUUGCCGAGUGGUUGAGGCGAUGGACUAGAAAUCCAUUGGAGUCUCCCCCCACAGGUUCGAAUCCUGUCGGCUGCG
This 82-nucleotide transfer RNA is filed under the name Ixodes scapularis (black-legged tick). It matches the Rfam family "tRNA". Rfam says of the family: Transfer RNA (tRNA) molecules are approximately 80 nucleotides in length. The record is from Rfam by way of RNAcentral. Lineage: Eukaryota; Metazoa; Arthropoda; Arachnida; Ixodida; Ixodidae.